GGACCCGCGUCUGAUUAGCUGGUUGGCGGGGUAACGGCCCACCAAGGCGACGAUCAGUAGCCGGCCUGAGAGGGCGGACGGCCACAUUGGGACUGAGACACGGCCCAAACUCCUACGGGAGGCAGCAGUGGGGAAUAUUGCACAAUGGGGGAAACCCUGAUGCAGCGACGCCGCGUGAGUGAAGAAGCGUUUCGGCGCGUAAAGCUCUGUCAGCGGGGAAGAAACACGGUUCGCGAGAGCCGCGGACGGUACCCGACCAAGAAGCCCCGGCUAACUACGUGCCAGCAGCCGCGGUAAUACGUAGGGGGCAAGCGUUAUCCGGAUUCACUGGGUGUAAAGGGAGCGUAGACGGCGAGACAAGUCUGGAGUGAAAGGCCGGGGCCCAACCCCGGGACUGCUCUGGAAACUGCCUGGCUGGAGUACAGGAGAGGUAAGUGGAAUUCCUAGUGUAGCGGUGAAAUGCGUAGAUAUUAGGAGGAACACCAGUGGCGAAGGCGGCUUACUGGACUGUAACUGACGUUGAGGCUCGAAAGCGUGGGGAGCAAACAGGAUUAGAUACCCUGGUAGUCCACGCCGUAAACGAUGAUCACUAGGUGUCGGGGGUUAGAAGGCCCCCG
Molecule: ribosomal RNA, 617 nt
Filed under: uncultured bacterium
Lineage: Bacteria
Description: bacterial SSU rRNA
Rfam family: Bacterial small subunit ribosomal RNA
Source: RNAcentral